This 497-nucleotide ribosomal RNA is filed under the name uncultured bacterium. RNAcentral describes it as "partial 16S ribosomal RNA". It matches the Rfam family "Bacterial small subunit ribosomal RNA", at positions 28 to 507 of the family's 1533-position model. The record is from RNAcentral.
GAUGAACGCUGGCGGCGUGCCUAAUACAUGCAAGUCGAGCGAACAGACGAGGAGCUUGCUCCUCUGACGUUAGCGGCGGACGGGUGAGUAACACGUGGAUAACCUACCUAUAAGACUGGGAUAACUUCGGGAAACCGGAGCUAAUACCGGAUAAUAUAUUGAACCGCAUGGUUCAAUAGUGAAAGACGGUUUUGCUGUCACUUAUAGAUGGAUCCGCGCCGCAUUAGCUAGUUGGUAAGGUAACGGCUUACCAAGGCAACGAUGCGUAGCCGACCUGAGAGGGUGAUCGGCCACACUGGAGCUGAGACACGGUCCAGACUCCUACGGGAGGCAGCAGUAGGGAAUCUUCCGCAAUGGGCGAAAGCCUGACGGAGCAACGCCGCGUGAGUGAUGAAGGUCUUCGGAUCGUAAAACUCUGUUAUUAGGGAAGGACAAAUGUGUAAGUAACUAUGCACGUCUUGACGGUACCUAAUCAGAAAGCCACGGCUAACUACGUG